GUCUAUGGCCCUACCACCCCAAACAUGCCCUAUCUCAUCUGGAUUCGGAAGUUAAGCAGGAUCAGGCCUGGUGAGUACAUGGAUGGAAGACAGAUCUUCAGAAGAGACUACUCAGAGACAAGCAGUUUGGAGACA
RNAcentral lists this ribosomal RNA (135 nucleotides) under Castor canadensis (American beaver). Lineage: Eukaryota; Metazoa; Chordata; Mammalia; Rodentia; Castoridae. The record is from RNAcentral.